CGCUGUGCUCGUUGAUGAAAGUCAAAGUGGCGUUACGUGAGCUCAGUGUAGCCUACAUUCAGUGGCGCCUGUUAGUUUUCCCCUUGUGUAUUUACAAUGUCACAUAUCAAAGCAUUACAAUCAAACGGAUUAAAAUACAAAGAACAAAAAUACCCCUAUAAAUCUACACAGCGAUUCAUGGUAGGCCAGUUAAUGACUUAAAAGUCAUUGCCAUGUCACAUAAUGGCGGCAAUUAGUAGCGCUCGCUCGCUCAGCUGUUUACGUCGCCUGAAGACUAAUCUCAAGAAUGACUGACAAAAGACUGAAUGGAGACGCGGAGGCUGUUUUGAAAGAGUUUGACACCACAUGCAGUCGCAAAAUGAGCUUCAAAUAGAUCUGUUCAGAUGAAGAAACAAACUACAUCUACAUCUUAGAUAGCCUGAGGUGAGAGUGCAUGUCAGCAGCAGGACACAGAUCCUGGGCUCAGUCCAGAGCUGCUCUACACCGCCAGUCAUUUGUCAAAGGAUCUUUCUGCUCUCUCAGUCCACAGCCCAGACUUUCAGCCAGAAUGAAUGAUGGGAAUCACAGCAGAACUGGACCGCCGCUGAGACGUAUCUCAGCAAGUCUCGUCUGAGCCUGAUGACCCUCCUGUGACAUCAAAGUCAAUUAAGGCAUCUGUUUCAUUUUCAAAACCUGGUGUAUUUGGAUGCUGCAGUCUUGUGAGUGUGCGUUUGUGUUCUGUUGUUCAGAGAGAAUAUGUCAGCAACAGGAGGCUGUUCCUGGCCUUAGUCCAGAGAUGUUCAUGACUACCAGACUGAGGAAGACACCGUUUGUCAAAGGAUCUCAGGGGACAGUCCACUGGUCAAGCAGAACUUUAGCAAAAACACUCUUGCAUUUUACGACUCGAAAAUAAACUAAAAUAAACAUUCAUUCCAGUCAUAGUUACACACAAUAUGGUGUCAAGCUAUAUAGAUGUGUUUGUAUUUGAACAUAAUGGUUAAAGGAACAUUUUAUAACAUAUGGAUAUUGAAACAUGUAUUGAGA
This is a long non-coding RNA of Cyprinus carpio carpio, 1023 nucleotides long. The record is from Ensembl. NCBI's taxonomy places the organism in Eukaryota, Metazoa, Chordata, Actinopteri, Cypriniformes, Cyprinidae.